Molecule: ribosomal RNA, 506 nt
Filed under: uncultured bacterium
Lineage: Bacteria
Description: partial 16S ribosomal RNA
Rfam family: Bacterial small subunit ribosomal RNA
Source: RNAcentral
AGUGAACGCUGGCGGUAGGCCUAACACAUGCAAGUCGAACGGCAGCACAGGAGAGCUUGCUCUCUGGGUGGCGAGUGGCGGACGGGUGAGGAAUACAUCGGAAUCUACUCUGUCGUGGGGGAUAACGUAGGGAAACUUACGCUAAUACCGCAUACGACCUACGGGUGAAAGCAGGGGACCUUCGGGCCUUGCGCGAUUGAAUGAGCCGAUGUCGGAUUAGCUAGUUGGCGGGGUAAAGGCCCACCAAGGCGACGAGCCGUAGCUGGUCUGAGAGGAAGAUCAGCCACACUGGAGCUGAGACACGGUCCAGACUCCUACGGGAGGCAGCAGUGGGGAAUAUUGGACAAUGGGCGCAAGCCUGAUCCAGCCAUACCGCGUGGGUGAAGAAGGCCUUCGGGUUGUAAAGCCCUUUUGUUGGGAAAGAAAUCCAGCUGGCUAAUACCCGGUUGGGAUGACGGUACCCAAAGGAUAAGCACCGGCUAACUUCGUGCCAGCCGCCGCCGUAA